This 207-nucleotide long non-coding RNA is filed under the name Nicotiana benthamiana. RNAcentral's name for it is "long non-coding RNA (NBEN_LNC013318)". Lineage: Eukaryota; Viridiplantae; Streptophyta; Magnoliopsida; Solanales; Solanaceae. The record is from RNAcentral.
AUUUCAGUUAUUGCAAUUUCAUAAAUUUCCCCUCCCUCGUUAAAAUCAACAAACAAAUUAGCAAGUGCGGCAAUAUAAACUAAACAGCUAGAACUAGUUGGAUAAUAUUGGCCAGAUAAAGCAUUUGCAGCCACAUGAAAAUGUUCUAAAAAAUCUAAAAGAAUUUUAACGUUAGUCCAAUCUUGUGUAGUUAGCAUGUCAAUAUCG